AAACAAAAGCUUGCUUUACAAGAUGUCCUUGUUAUAGUAGGAGAUAUAAACCUCCCAGAACAAGUCCAAAACUUAAUUAUCAGAGGACUAACGGCAGUGCCGGACAUGUUACCCUCUAUUUGCUAUAUGGCUCCACAGAUAGAUCAUCUUUUAUAUGAAUUUGAUGAGACUUAUAGGGAGAAAAUCAGGUGGGAGCUCAUUAUGAAUAAGGAUAAAAAUCGUAAGAAUAAAGAAGUAAGUAGGAAGUACAUGGCGCAGAUUAAAUACGUGAAAAAAUGGAUGAAUGAUGAAUCCCUAAUAUGUAUGAAGGACGAUAAGUCAAAAAAGAUGGUUAUUAUUAAGAAGGACGAAUAUGAUAACCAACUGUUAG
This 370-nucleotide long non-coding RNA is filed under the name Androctonus crassicauda. The record is from RNAcentral. Lineage: Eukaryota; Metazoa; Arthropoda; Arachnida; Scorpiones; Buthidae.